Molecule: ribosomal RNA, 265 nt
Filed under: uncultured Staphylococcus sp.
Lineage: Bacteria; Bacillati; Bacillota; Bacilli; Caryophanales; Staphylococcaceae
Description: partial 16S ribosomal RNA
Rfam family: Bacterial small subunit ribosomal RNA
Source: RNAcentral
CGGCGGACGGGUGAGUAACACGUGGAUAACCUACCUAUAAGACUGGGAUAACUUCGGGAAACCGGAGCUAAUACCGGAUAAUAUAUUGAACCGCAUGGUUCAAUAGUGAAAGACGGUUUUGCUGUCACUUAUAGAUGGAUCCGCGCCGCAUUAGCUAGUUGGUAAGGUAACGGCUUACCAAGGCAACGAUGCGUAGCCGACCUGAGAGGGUGAUGGCCACACUGGAACUGAGACACGGUCCAGACUCCUACGGGAGGCAGCAGUC